RNAcentral lists this ribosomal RNA (803 nucleotides) under uncultured Flavobacterium sp. RNAcentral describes it as "bacterial SSU rRNA". It matches the Rfam family "Bacterial small subunit ribosomal RNA", at positions 1 to 809 of the family's 1533-position model. The record is from RNAcentral. Lineage: Bacteria; Pseudomonadati; Bacteroidota; Flavobacteriia; Flavobacteriales; Flavobacteriaceae.
AUUAGAGUUUGAUCCUGGCUCAGGAUGAACGCUAGCGGCAGGCUUAACACAUGCAAGUCGAGGGGUAUAGUUCUUCGGAACUAGAGACCGGCGCACGGGUGCGUAACGCGUAUGCAAUCUACCUUUCACAAAGGAAUAGCCCAGAGAAAUUUGGAUUAAUACCUUAUAGUAAUACGACUUGGCAUCAAGAUGUAUUUAAAGAUUUAUCGGUGAAAGAUGAGCAUGCGUCCCAUUAGCUAGUUGGUAAGGUAACGGCUUACCAAGGCAACGAUGGGUAGGGGUCCUGAGAGGGAGAUCCCCCACACUGGUACUGAGACACGGACCAGACUCCUACGGGAGGCAGCAGUGAGGAAUAUUGGACAAUGGGCGCAAGCCUGAUCCAGCCAUGCCGCGUGCAGGAUGACGGUCCUAUGGAUUGUAAACUGCUUUUAUACGAGAAGAAACACUCCGACGUGUCGGAGCUUGACGGUAUCGUAAGAAUAAGGAUCGGCUAACUCCGUGCCAGCAGCCGCGGUAAUACGGAGGAUCCAAGCGUUAUCCGGAAUCAUUGGGUUUAAAGGGUCCGUAGGCGGUCAGAUAAGUCAGUGGUGAAAGCCCAUCGCUCAACGGUGGAACGGCCAUUGAUACUGUCUGACUUGAAUUAUUAGGAAGUAACUAGAAUAUGUAGUGUAGCGGUGAAAUGCUUAGAGAUUACAUGGAAUACCAAUUGCGAAGGCAGGUUACUACUAAUAUAUUGACGCUGAUGGACGAAAGCGUGGGUAGCGAACAGGAUUAGAUACCCUGGUAGAAUCACUAGUGAAUUC